UGUGUCAAGCAGCCCAGCAGAGAGCUGGGGGCCCCGGGGCAGUGAAGGGAAAAGACCGUGAAGGAACUGCAAACCCAGGUCCUUCGUGGUCCUUGGGGGCAGCACAUGAAGCAGGGCUGUGGGGGCCUGAGGCCCAGAUCUGCCCCCCACCCCCUGCCUCAGGUCCUCCUUUGUCUGAAGGGUCUGAGGACCAGGUUUUGCCAUCACACAAGUGUACUGGCAAAGUUCCUGGACCCCUUGCUGUCUUCAUGAACCAGAUAAAACCAAUGGGUGUUUAGGUGAGCAGACUGAGGCAGAGCGAGAGAACACAUCCUCUUCAUUGCUCUUCAGACACUCCAUCAACUUGCAGCAGAUUCUGAGACAUGAUGGACAGGGUCCUCAAGGUCUUCCGGCUCCCAACGCUACCUCGUGUCCUGCGGAGGAGAGCUGGUGGUCAGGGCUGGUGAUCGUCAUCGCGGUAUGCUGUGCCUCCUUGCUAUUUCUCACUGUGCUUGUCAUCAUCUGCUACAAAGCCAUCAAGAGGAAACCCCUGAGAAAAGAGGAGAACGGCACUGGCGUUGCUGAGUACCCUAUGACUUCCUCGCAAAGCAGCAAAGGGGUGGAUGCGAACAGCGCCGUGGUGUGAGUCCGUAGGCCCUGGACUGCUGGCCAGAGGGACACCUUGGUGGCACUGGUGGACGUGGGAAAGCGGGUGGACACGAGCUGACACUGGGCUUGCCCAGGACUUCAUCGCCUUGCAGGCUUCGAGCCUCCCAAAGAAGAAAGCCUCCUUUGCCCAGCCUCGCCCCUUGGGCAGCCCACGGCGUGGAUGCUGCGGACACCAGGCUGAGCCAGGCUCACCGGCGGGCGGCCUCCAGGGUAGCGCUGCCAUCUGAGGCCCCGUGUCUCUUCCUCCUCUUGUGUCUGAUCCACGGACAGCCCCCCGGCUGGUGCCUAAAGCACACACCCUGAGAAGGCCGGGAGCCUGUCUGCCGGGGCGAAGAGGUGCCCCCGCCCCUUUCGCCUAAAGGAGACCUCCCCUCCCCACCAGGAAGCCCGCCUGCUUCUUCCCUGACCACGCCAUUCCCAACAGAAGCCAUGGGCGCAGCCACGAGACGUCCCCGUUCAAAGGUGCUCCCACCCAUCUUCCCGCCGCCCCGUCAUUGUCUCAGUCUUCAGGGCCUGCCUUCUCCCUCCCAUCUCCAUCACACCCAGGGCCCCUGGCUCCUGACUCCCCGCCACAGGGGGCUGUGCGCCCCACCUGCGGAGUCCGGACUGAGCCGAGGAGCCCGGUCACACCCCCGGGUGGGGUCUGACCGUCCAGGGCAAAACAACGCCCCGAACCCCAGGUCUGGGGCCCUGGAAGGAUGGGGGCCACUACACCUGUCCUCAGACUCACUCCCACAUCUGACCCUCAGAGGAGCCGACGCUUCCCUGUGAGCCAGGCCCUGCCUGCCCCCCCGGCAGAGGCCACCCCCGUGCCAAACCCACCAUCGGCGCUCCGGCCUGGACCCACCGGCCUGGUGCUGGGCCCCUGAACACUCCCUGAGGCCUGGUACUCAGAGCCUCUCCGGAGAGCCCCAGGCCUGCCGUCAUCCCGAGGGAGCCCGCAUGCUUCUAUGGGCGCCUUGAAUGUCCCCUGUGCUCUGAAAGUGCUGAGUCCUCCGGAGUGGUUGGUGGACGAAGGGAAGGAAAGGAGAUGGGAAGAGAGGGACCCUCUAGGCCUGGUGACCCCCAUCUACUGGCCAAGUGACCCCCACCUGCCAGCCUGUUUCGCCGGCAGCCAGUCACCCUGUGGGCACAUCACUGCCCACAGCAGCCUUGCGGUUUUGCACUCCCGGAGGGCUGGGAGAACACUGCUGGGGCCCUGGCUCCCUCACCCUCCACGCACUUGCUGAGAGGAACCCAUCACAGCCAGGGGCUCCGCUCUCUGGCUAUGUAGGGUCCGAGCCGGGGACCCUGCCUGCCUCCCAGACCACAAGUGUCAGUUGUUCUCUGGAGGGCGUUUGGGCCACAGGUGAGACUCACAUCCAGGGGAGACUGACAGACUGGAAACCAAUCCCCGUUUGGGCUGAACCUUGAAACAUCCAUCGCCCGGGAGCCCUGGUGCCCACGGAGGCGUCUGCGUGCCGAGAGCAGGGGAGAAGGUGAACGCGCCGUGACCUUGGCCCAGGUCCUGUCGCCAGGUCAGUGGGUGCAGGCUGAGGCCAGGCCCCGGGCAGAGCGUCCCAGGGAGGCUCUUCCCCCUCUCAGUGCUCCCCGCGUGAGGACUGGCUUGGCUCUGGACCGGCUUCUGUUCUCCCUGUGUGCCUUAGCGCGGGGCCCCCGUGGCCUUCCUCCCUGCCCCACCCAGUAGGUACUUGACGGUUCGUGCCCUCCACUUGCCAAGGAUGCUGAGCUGAGUGACAAGCAGGCCAGAGGCUGUGGGCCCCUCAGCAGGACAGACCCCGUCCCAGCGUGCUUUCCUCACUGCCUGUGGCUCCUGCUGAUCCCCUGCCCGUCCCCUGAGCAGACACCCAGGCAGGACCCCAGCCCGACGCACACACUUUCCUGGUCCAGGAGUGAUGGGAGAGCAUCUGUGACCAGAGGGAAGAAUCCUGGCUGAGUGGUCGUGGAGUCCUGGGCAGUCAGUCUGGGGGGGACAUGGAAGGAAGCAGGGCACACUCCAGCUCUUGCAAAAGCCUGUUGAUCCCACCUUCCACAGCCUGGGCUUAAACCUGAGUGGCUCAGAUUUUGCAAUUAACUUAAUCCUCCAGCCCCAGCCAGGCUCCCCAUCAGGAUCCCCAGAAAACCAUCAGUCCUUCACUCUGGAGCCAGUAUCCACUUCCCUGGGGACACAUAGCCCAGGCUCCGUGAAAAGCUAACGUUUGCACAUAAAUUCCCCCAAAUUGGGUUUGUCAAAUCUCUUCUCGCCCAGUUAGUGAAAACUAAGAAAAGACCCCAGUUUUUAAAAGAGAAUUCACUUGAGAACAAACCCAGAACCGGUCAUUUGGAAGACAGCCCUCACGGGUGCAAGGAGAGAGCCCCCCGUGGAUUUUCAGCUUAAGCAACAGAAGAUCCAUAAAACCACCCAGCCUGGUAUUUGAGCUUAAACUUAAAUUUCAGGCAUAUAUCUUCAGCCCUUAAACACGGACCAAUCCUCAGGCUACUCUGAACCUUUGAGAACGACAGGCACAUUCCUUUUCUGCAUUUUCUCAAAUAGAUAUUUUUCGACCGUCUCCUGUCAAGCCCAGCUUUAGAAUGGCAUAUAGGAUCUUCCAGAGGUUUCAGGUGUUCCUUAGAUGCUUCUAAAGCAAGUUUUGGAAGAAAGACUAAUAGCUGUAAAAAUAGACAUAUAUAUUAUAUAUAGUUAUAUAUAUUUAAAGAGAUAUCUAUCUAUAUAUAUAUAAUUACAGUACUCUCUGAAUCUGUACAAAGUAUGAUUUCAACAGCCCAGGUAGUGUGCGAUAUCUAAUGCAUGAAUGUAAAUACCCUGAGACCUGCCUUCCUCACGGUUGCUAAGAGCGCACGGGAAGAUGGCUCCUGUUCCCAGUUCUGUCUCAAUGGACCAAUACACACGUCGGUGCCCUCCUGUCCACCAACGAGCCUCUGAUGUCGACUCUGUUCUGAGAUGUUGUGUAGGAAGCAGGACAGGCAGCGUGAGGGGUGGGCUACAUGCUACUUAGAGGAAGAAAGCACCAUGCCUUUUUAUUUUCAAUAAAAAUAUACUUAU
Molecule: non-coding RNA, 3691 nt
Organism: Odocoileus virginianus texanus
Lineage: Eukaryota; Metazoa; Chordata; Mammalia; Artiodactyla; Cervidae
Source: RefSeq, a predicted model, not a curated record